Molecule: ribosomal RNA, 497 nt
Filed under: uncultured bacterium
Lineage: Bacteria
Description: partial 16S ribosomal RNA
Rfam family: Bacterial small subunit ribosomal RNA
Source: RNAcentral
GAUGAACGCUGGCGGCGUGCCUAAUACAUGCAAGUCGAGCGAACAGACGAGGAGCUUGCUCCUCUGACGUUAGCGGCGGACGGGUGAGUAACACGUGGAUAACCUACCUAUAAGACUGGGAUAACUUCGGGAAACCGGAGCUAAUACCGGAUAAUAUAUUGAACAGCAUGGUUCAAUAGUGAAAGACGGUUUUGCUGUCACUUAUAGAUGGAUCCGCGCCGCAUUAGCUAGUUGGUAAGGUAACGGCUUACCAAGGCAACGAUGCGUAGCCGACCUGAGAGGGUGAUCGGCCACCCUGGAAGUGAGACACGGUCCAGACUCCUACGGGAGGCAGCAGUAGGGAAUCUUCCGCGAUGGGCGAAAGCUUGACGGAGCAACGCCGCGUGAGUGAUGAAGGUCUUCGGAUCGUAGAACUCUGUUAUUAGGGAAGAACAAAUGUGUAAGUAACUAUGCACGUCUUGACGGUACCUAAUCAGAAAGCCACGGCUAACUACGUG